UACGGGGGGGGCAAGCGUUGUUCGGAAUUACUGGGCGUAAAGGGCUCGUAGGCGGCCAACUAAGUCAGACGUGAGAUCCCCCGGCUUAACCAGGGAACUGCGUCUGAUACUGGAUGGCUUGAGUUUGGGAGAGGGAUGCGGAAUUCCAGGUGUAGCGGUGAAAUGCGUAGAUAUCUGGAGGAACACCGGUGGCGAAGGCGACAUCCUGGACCAACACUGACGCUGAGUGAGCGAAAGCCAGGGGAGCAAACGGG
This 254-nucleotide ribosomal RNA is filed under the name uncultured bacterium. RNAcentral's name for it is "partial 16S ribosomal RNA". It matches the Rfam family "Bacterial small subunit ribosomal RNA", at positions 524 to 776 of the family's 1533-position model. The record is from RNAcentral.